This 73-nucleotide transfer RNA is filed under the name Aureispira sp. RNAcentral's name for it is "tRNA-Asp". It matches the Rfam family "tRNA". From Rfam's summary of the family: Transfer RNA (tRNA) molecules are approximately 80 nucleotides in length. Lineage: Bacteria; Pseudomonadati; Bacteroidota; Saprospiria; Saprospirales; Saprospiraceae. The record is from RNAcentral. RNAcentral also lists the same sequence under 1 other name.
GGAGGUGUGGCGCAAUGGCUAGCGCAGGGGAUUGUCUAUCCUCAGGUUGUGGGUUCGAAUCCCAUCAUCUUCG